Non-coding RNA from Struthio camelus australis, 3312 nucleotides. Lineage: Eukaryota; Metazoa; Chordata; Aves; Struthioniformes; Struthionidae. The record is from RefSeq and is a predicted model, not a curated record.
UUGAUCACUUCCUGCAGAAUAUCCUUACUUUCACUAGGAGGAAGAUUGCUAAAAUAAUACUGAGGUGCCAGCUCCACGAAUCUGUUUUGUCAGAAGUCAAGUCAUGGUGAAUGCUGAAUAGUAUAUUACACAGUGCCUAUGUCCAGAACUCCUUCUGUCAUCUUCUCCUCUAAAAGAAUAGAGCACUACUGGCAGCCUUCAAGCACCAAUAUUUCGUCUGGGUUCACGUGCUUUCAUUUUAAUGAGAAGUUAACACAAGCAUUUACACAAGUUCCAGCUCCCUUAUGAUUUUGUGUGUCCUACAAUUGCAGGGCUGCUUGCCAACGCCAACUACUGCUCCCAUCAAGGCAAACUGCAAAGCUUUGUGACUCAACUGCUGCUUUCACAGAAGCAAAGUUAGAAAGAAGUUCUCAAGAUAUGUUCCAUGCUUUCAACAAGAAAUCUUGCCAAUACUUCCCUGGAAGUUUGAAAGAUUUUAACAUUACAAGAGAGGAUAGGAUUCACCUCCGUUUCACAUCAUGUGCAACUGCAGGAAGGUGGGCUACAGGAGGAGUGUUACACAGUUCUCCGUGAAAGAGAAAGGACACGCAAAAUGAAGAGCUGUUGAACUGGAUUUUCAGAAGUGACUGGAAGCGAACUCAGGCUCAAGUCAUUGCUGUGCUGUACCACUAGGCUUUCUAUAUGGUGAUGGACAAAAUAUUCAGAGAAGACAGAGAAGAGGGAAAAAGGAAAAAAGAAGAAGAAUAAGAAGCUGAAGCCUAAAUCUGUAGUUAAAAUCCUGAAAUUGUGCCUAUUUUGUCUUACUGUAACUAAACUGCAUGUGUUGCUCGUUGUUAUGGCAUCAGAAAUUGUGCCUUCAUGCCUUGAACUAAGCAGUGCCUAGGGCAUACCUAAGUCUGUUACAGAUCAGAAAGUAGCUUUUCCAAGACCGUGCCUAACAUACUCCCAACAUCAAAUUCCCAUAAAAAUGUUAUUUCAGACAUUAUAAUUUUUAAAAUACAUUUGGAGGAGGAGAGAUCUUAACUCUAUCCCUUGCAGGCAAGUGGAAGUAGAAUAUUUGUACUCUUUCCUCUCUGCCUGAGGGAGUCACUCCUCUCUCAGAGAGGAAUACCGUAAUCCCAAGAUUAAAUGCAGGACACCUUCCUGCUCAAGUUAAGUGGCUAUGCAGGAAAAGAUUGAAGAUUAAUUAAGCCAAAUAGUAAGAAAACAAGUGGCAGCAUUAGUUGGUGAAGAAAGAACACAUGGGAAGUAGUAGUUCUGGCUUCUGCUUUCUGCACCAAAAAUGUUACGUUCUAUGAAACUGUGAUAGUUGAGAGCUGUGAUUGGCAGAGCAAAAUUUGAGACUAGAAGGCUAGAGGCCAGGGAAUCAAAUACUGGGAAAAAGAACUGAGAGAAAGAGGAAAUUAAGAAAGACUGGCUAAGUAAACUGUGGGAGGGAGUGGACUGAGAUGACAGCAGAAAAGGAGACAGCUGUUAUCAACAGCUGUCGAUUACAAAGAAUGCUGAGAAGGACUUGGGAUUCAGAGAUCGUAGAUGGAGGAGAGACUAAGACCACAACAAAAAGCUAAAUUUGAGAGCUGGCUUUGGACGAAAACAAGCUGAAGGAACUGGUAGAAAGGAACAAGCCUGAUUAAAACAAGGAGCGAAGUCUGUGUCCACCAAAGCAUACUCCCUUCAGUGCCAUCGUUCCUCUGUUAGCACGUGCGUUAAUCACCUUGGGAAACCGUGUGCAUCUCCCCACUCUAGUGCAGAUCCACACAGGAGGUAGCUACGCAUUAUCACUUCCAGUUACUCAGCUGAAAGUGCACGAGGCCAGAUGUCGAGUCUCCGUGUAACCAUAUGCCUUGCAGGCCACACUGCAAGGCUUUAUCCAUGGGGUGAGAGUGCAGAGCCUGGCAGAGAGUGACAUCCACUAACUUCAGUACACCUUCUCCUGUGGCAUCUGGUACGUAUAUGUCGUGAAAAUGGAAAGGGCUGCAAUGUGCCACUGAAAACUAGGAGACUUAGAACUGAUCAAAGGGGAUCCAGAGACAGUAGCCAAUUUAAUAUAUGUCAUUUUCAGUAUAUAACAUUUGACACGUAUUUUAGCUGAGCACUCAAAAGAUAGGGGAUGCAAGAAGCAAGGUUUCUUGUGCAUCUUUAUUUUGUUUCCUUACUUCCUUUUUUAAAACGUUGCAAGAAUUAGUGAAGCUAAAACACAAAAUAAAAUAUAAAACAGAGCACAAAUAAGUAUGUAGGCCACAAUAUGGACAGACGUUGUUUGGUGUAUUAAAGAAAUAAUAAAAAAACAGUGUUUUAAGUUUAGAAUACGGAUAAAUUGAGUGAGAACAAUGGGUAUGACAAAAGGAUAUAAUGACAAGGUUAGCCGUGACUGUAGAAGAGCCAAGAAAAUUCUGCAACUGAACAAAACAGUUGCCAGCACAAUGUAGAAGGAAUGAUUUAUUGAUAAAAUACUAAGGCAACUUGAAAUAAUUUAUAAAGUAUUUAGAUUAAGCCCUGGUCUCUCUAAAGUCAGAGAAAAUACACCCAUAACUAACUUCAGUAGGCAAGGGUUUUAGCUGAUAUGUUCUGUAAUACAUUUGAAAAAUAUCUAGUUGACAGACAGGUUUUCAGGUUGAGAUAUGAUGUUGUGAUACACAAACAAAACAAAAAUUUACAGUGCACAUGCUGGUAGAUACAAGAAUAUUUUAUACAGAGUUUUCUAAGGUUAUGUGUGUAUUUGGUUCUGAGUUUUAAAAUACAGUAGUUACUCAUGAAUGUAUUCUUAGUUCAGUGCUCAGGAGCUUGACCUUUUUAAAGAUAGUACAUAAACAGAUGUGGUUUUGAGAUUUUUGUUACUUGUUUAUGACACUGUAUCAGACAAUUGCAGGUUGAAGUGUGUAAUUCUUCAGUGCUGAACUUGUCCCAAAGCCUAAAGGAAAUCACCUAAGUAGUAACAGCUUGUAAUAGACACAGGUGAAAUGUGUCAACUAUUUAUAAGUAUUUGAAGAAAAUAAUUUAAAUGUAUAAGCGUAUAUAUAUUUUUUAAGCCUAUAGUUGACCGAAUUAAUCUUCUGCCACUUUUUAUGUUUUACUCUCUCUCUCUCUGGCCUUAGUACUUCAAGUUGCAAUACAUGGCUGUACAUCUGUGUCUGCUGAGAGAACUGCUAAACAUCAGUGGUGCGGUGUGUGCAUACACUGUAGCUCAGUUCUUGAGAACUGGAAAUUAUUAUAGUGCAAUGCAGUACAGCACUCGGCAUAAAACCAGCCCACUGCUUAUUGAAACCUGACACUAGUAAUGCAUGAAUCUGGAUAUUAAUGUGCCUCAUGUAA